CUCAGCUCUCUGCCCGCUGGCCUUGUCUGUGCUGCUGUCACACCAUGAUCCCCCCUCCUCUCCUUCCCCUUGUUGGCUGUAGUAUGGAUGACCUCCCUGAGGUUAACGUACCGGCCCCCCUUCCUACAGCCAGGAUUCCUUCCUACAGCCAGGAUUUAAGCCCAGGGCUCUCUGACCCCAUAUUCUGCCCCCUUUCUGGGACAUUCACUCCGGGUUGAGGGUGGCCCCAGAAGAGUUCUCUCAUCAGCUCAGGCCACUCGGGAUGAGGAGGGUCCAGAGAAGGGCACCAAUACUUUCCUCCCUCCUCUCCCUCCUCUAAAGGGUUAGAGCCCAGGGGGCGGUGUGGGCGUCAGGCGCGGAGGGUUCGGGCACCCCUGGAACCUGGGUCAAGAUAGGCUCUCACAGGGCCCCCUUUCCCCACAGGGGUGUCUGCUGGCCUUCUCGGCACCAAUGACAAUGAGGCAGCCACUGAGCUGAUGCUGCCGGAUGGCACAGUAGCCCACAGCCUAGAGGAGCUCGCCCUCGCCUGGCAGGUGGGUGGCAACUGCACGGCCAUGGAGAAAACUCAGGAGUGCCCAGGCCGGAGCCCCACCUGCUGGGCCUUCUUCCAGGACCCCCGUUCCUGCCUGGGGAGCUGCUUCAGGGUGGUGAGUAGGAGGCCAGGUCUAGACGGCAGCAGAAGCCAUGCAGCAGGUAGACCAGGGGACCCCAAGUAGCCCCGGUCUUGCCUGUGCUACUCCCAGGGUGCAGCAGGCCAGGACCAUGACGGGGGGUGCUGGAUUGCAGGUGGAUCCCACGCCAUUCCUCCGCCUCUGCAUCCAGGACGCCUGUGGCCCCCACGAGCUGCACCCGGCCUGCACCCUGGCAGCCACCUACAUCCACUUGUGUGCACGGGGCUUUGUGCCCCUGGACCCUCCUCCACAGUGCGUUUGAGAUUGUGUCUGAGCCAGCACCAGGCUGCCAAAGACUUCAGACUCCUUCACCUUCUCCCACCAAUUCCAGCUCCUCGGCAAGGCCAGGAUUCUUGGCUGGGACAGAACCACCAGCAUGAAGGGCCAGGAGGCUCAGAGAUCACACUUGCUCCAGAUACAGCCAAGGAGGGCUCGGAGUCGAGGAUUUCAAAAUACUUCUGGGGACCAUAAAGUUCACAACUGGUCUGGAGGAUUCUCUACCUUCCCUGACACCUGCACUGCUCUCUAGGAGAGACAGCCUGGCCCCCUGGGCCCACCUCUGCAGACAGACCUCCAUUCCAGCAGCUGUUCUUGUGCAAGAUGUUUUUACUCUUGCUCGGCUGCUCCGUCUGAGGCCGCCACUGUGUGAGCCUGGGCUGCCCUGGGGCCUUCCUCGCUCAGGACUGGCCUCCCCUCCCCUCUACAGCAUCUCCCUUAAGGCGUGAGGCUCCUUGAGAUGGACCCGUGGUCCCAAAUUCCUUCCUGAUCUGGUGGGAGAGUGUCCCUCUUCAGGGUAGAUACUGAAUCUGGAACUGAGUAUUUGGGGGACACUAGAGAGGGCCUCCUUUUUGAGGGGCUGGUUUCCACAGACACCUGCUAGGGCCCCAAGAAUAUAGCCUUCAAAGCUGUUCACUUUCUUUGGGAAGGCAGACCUGUCCCUUGAAUUUUUGACCGAAAAACAAAUCUGGCAGAGUCCCUGAACAGAUCCACUGGAUGGAUGGGGCUGAUCAUUCACUGGUAUGAUGGGGGAGGCUUGGGUGGCUGUGAAAUCUGCCCACCAGUGGAAGCCCCUCCCCCCAAGCCCUCUGUACGUGGAGUCCUAAGGUCCCGAUUCCAGAACAAAGGGCGAAGUGUCAGACACGAGGAACGGGUCAACCAGAAGGUGAGAGGCCACAUUCAGUGGCCCUGGCCUCCCCACACCUAAAUCCCCAGCACACAGCAGAUGCUCAGUAAAGGUUAGAAGCAGCAGCUCUAGAGAGUUUGAGGGUCUUUUAAAGACGGCGUAAAUGGGGCCAGCCCAGUGCAUUCCCACACUCUCGAGGGACGUGCGAGGGGAGGGGUGUCCUGAUGUGUUGAGUGUAUGCUAUACUGCCAUGGGUUGCAACCAGAAGACCCCAGAGUCCAGGCACUACUCUUUGAAAGACGUUUGAUCUUUUCUUAGACCUUAUAGUACCCAGCGAGGCAUGCACCCCAUGUCAUGGAAGGGGGCGGCUCAGAGAGCCCAGCUGACUUACAGAAGGUCAUCCGGCCAGCACGCGGCCAGGCUGGCGCUGAUCUGGGCCCACUGGACCCUCGAGGCUGCCAGCGUCAGUCACCACCUCCUACGUUUGAGCUCCAUAUAGUGUACCAUUGACAUGAAGAGAGUCAAGUGCACCUUUGCCCUGUCCCAAGACACACCUGGAGUACUUACUCAUUUUUCCCUAGUCCACAUGAAAAUGCCCGAUGAGCCACGUCACACAUAAUCAGAAACGUACCCACAACCGUCAGAGGUGCUAUGUUAGGCCUUGCUGAAGGGAACUUAGCCCAGGAGGAGGAGGAAGGAAUGAGAUCAUUUACAGUGGAAAGCAAAUCGCUGGAAUGCCUGGGGGUGGGGUGGGGGGAGGCUGAGCAGUUCAGAGUUAGAUACGCCCAUGGUUUAUAACCACACGACCUCAGUUUCCAGAUCUGCUCAAAGAAUCGGUGAUUUCCGGUCCAGACAGGAAACUGCAGAAGGUUCCCAACCUGCCUCCCACGCUCUGUCCCCAGCCAAGCAUUUACCAGGAAAAUAGCGGUAGGCUGGGCACGCGCCCAGACCCCAAGGGGGAAGCCCAGUUCUCCUUUCUCAAGGCAGAUUUGACGACACCAACACUUUGCAAUUUGGGGUGUAUGGCUGGGUGUGCACGCACAUGUGCAGAAUUUAGAGAAAAACGGAUGGGACAGGGAACGAUUCCAUUAAAAAUACCUAUUAAUAUGUCUACAGCAUAUAAAGAGCAGGUACAAAUAAAGAUCUUAAAAAUCCAGUCUCCA
This is a long non-coding RNA of Ursus maritimus (polar bear), 2957 nucleotides long. Lineage: Eukaryota; Metazoa; Chordata; Mammalia; Carnivora; Ursidae. The record is from Ensembl.